RNAcentral lists this ribosomal RNA (487 nucleotides) under uncultured bacterium. Its description in RNAcentral is "partial 16S rRNA". The record is from RNAcentral.
GCACGGAGUUAGCCGGUGCUUAUUCAUCGGGUACCGUCAACCCAGCAAGAAAACUGGGGUUUCUUCUCCGAUAAAAGAAGUUUACAAUCCAGAGGACCUUCAUCCUCCACGCGGCAUGGCUGGUUCAGACUUGCGUCCAUUGACCAAUAUUCCUUACUGCUGCCUCCCGUAGGAGUCGGGCCCGUGUCUCAGUGCCCGUGUGACUGGUCGUGCUCUCACACCAGUUACUGAUCGUAGGCUUGGUGGGCCGUUACCCCGCCAACUACCUAAUCAGGCGCACGCUCAUCCAAAACCGCCGGAGCUAUAAUAAUAAAGUGAUGCCACUUCAUUAUGUUACGGUGUAUUAAUCCUCCUUUCGGAGGGCUAUUCACCAGUUUUGGGAAGAUUGCGUACGUGUUCCGCACCCGUUUGCCGGUCGCCAUCAGUGUAUUGCUACACCAUGCUGCCCCACGACUUGCAUGUAUUAAGCCUGCCGCUAGCGUUCAUC